GAUGAACGCUGGCGGCGUGCCUAAUACAUGCAAGUCGAGCGAACAGACGAGGAGCUUGCUCCUCUGACGUUAGCGGCGGACGGGUGAGUAACACGUGGAUAACCUACCUAUAAGACUGGGAUAACUUCGGGAAACCGGAGCUAAUACCGGAUAAUAUAUUGAACCGCAUGGUUCAAUAGUGAAAGACGGUUUUGCUGUCACUUAUAGAUGGAUCCGCGCCGCAUUAGCUAGUUGGUAAGGUAACGGCUUACCAAGGCGACGAUGCGUAGCCGACCUGAGAGGGUGAUCGGCCACACUGGAACUGAGACACGGUCCAGACUCCUACGGGAGGCAGCAGUAGGGAAUCUUCCGCAAUGGGCGAAGGCCUGACGGAGCAACGCCGCGUGAGUGAUGAAGGUCUUCGGAUCGUAAAACUCUGUUAUUAGGGAAGAACAAAUGUGUAAGUAACUAUGCACGUCUUGACGGUACCUAAUCAGAAAGCCACGGCUAACUACGUGC
RNAcentral lists this ribosomal RNA (498 nucleotides) under uncultured bacterium. RNAcentral describes it as "partial 16S ribosomal RNA". It matches the Rfam family "Bacterial small subunit ribosomal RNA", at positions 28 to 508 of the family's 1533-position model. The record is from RNAcentral.